CCCGCUGAACUUAAGCAUAUCAAUAAGCGGAGGAAAAGAAACCAACAGGGAUUACCCUAGUAACGGCGAGUGAAGCGGUAACAGCUCAAAUUUGAAAUCUGACCUUCACGGGUUCGAGUUGUAAUUUGUAGAGGAUGUUUCGGAUAAGGCUUUGGUUUAAGUUUCUUGGAACAGAACGUCAUAGAGGGUGAGAGUCCCGUCUAGAACCAAUAGCCGCGUCCAUGUGAAACUCCUUCGACGAGUCGAGUUGUUUGGGAAUGCAGCUCAAAAUGGGUGGUAAAUUUCAUCUAAAGCUAAAUAUUGGCCAGAGACCGAUAGCGCACAAGUAGAGUGAUCGAAAGAUGAAAAGCACUUUGAAAAGAGAGUUAAACAGUAUGUGAAAUUGUUGAAAGGGAAGCGCUUGCAACCAGACUUGAGCGCGGCGGUUCCCCCGGUCUUUUGGCCGGGCUACUCCGUCGUGUCCAGGCCAACAUCGGUUCUGAGGGUCGGUCAAAGGCCUUGGGAAUGUAUCUACCCACGGGUAGACUUAUAGACCAGGGUGUCAUGCGGCCUCUCGGGACCGAGGAACGCGCUUCGGCUCGGAUGUUGGCGUAAUGGUUGUCAGCGACCCGUCUUGAAACACGG
Molecule: ribosomal RNA, 624 nt
Filed under: uncultured fungus
Lineage: Eukaryota; Fungi
Description: eukaryotic LSU rRNA
Rfam family: Eukaryotic large subunit ribosomal RNA
Source: RNAcentral